RNAcentral lists this long non-coding RNA (295 nucleotides) under Mytilus galloprovincialis (Mediterranean mussel). Lineage: Eukaryota; Metazoa; Mollusca; Bivalvia; Mytilida; Mytilidae. The record is from RNAcentral.
CUUUUUAGCUCACCUGGCCCGAAGGGCCAAGUGAGCUUUUCCCAUCACUUUGCGUCCGGCGUCCGUCGUCGUCGUCGUCCGUCGUCGUUAACUUUUACAAAAAUCUUCUCCUCUGAAACUACUGGGCCAAAUUAAACCAAACUUGGCCACAAUCAUCAUUGGGGUAUCUAGUUUAAAAAAUGUGUGGCGUGACCCGGCCAACCAACCAAGAUGGCCGCCAUGGCUAAAAAUAGAACAUAGGGGUAAAAUGCAGUUUUUGGCUUAUAACUCAAAAACCAAAGCAUUUAGAGCAAAU